UACGAAGGGGGCUAGCGUUGUUCGGAAUCACUGGGCGUAAAGGGCGCGUAGGCGGCCGUUCAAGUCGGGGGUGAAAGCCUGUGGCUCAACCACAGAAUGGCCUUCGAUACUGGACGGCUCGAGACCGGAAGAGGUCAGUGGAACUGCUAGUGUAGAGGUGAAAUUCGUAGAUAUUCGCAAGAACACCAGUGGCGAAGGCGGCUGACUGGUCCGUUACUGACGCUGAGGCUCGAAAGCGUGGGGAGCAAACAGG
This 253-nucleotide ribosomal RNA is filed under the name uncultured bacterium. RNAcentral's name for it is "partial 16S ribosomal RNA". It matches the Rfam family "Bacterial small subunit ribosomal RNA", at positions 524 to 776 of the family's 1533-position model. The record is from RNAcentral.